AUGUAUGUUCUCUUCGGAGCAUUGGAGACAGGUGGUGCAUGGUUGUCGUCAGCUCGUGUCGUGAGAUGUUGGGUUAAGUCCCGCAACGAGCGCAACCCUUAUCCUUAGUAGCCAGCAGGUAAAGCUGGGCACUCUAGGGAGACUGCCAGGGAUAACCUGGAGGAAGGUGGGGAUGACGUCAAAUCAUCAUGCCCCUUAUGAUUUGGGCUACACACGUGCUACAAUGGCGUAAACAAAGGGAAGCGAAGUGGUGACAUGGAGCGAACCCCAAAAAUAACGUCUCAGUUCGGAUUGCAGGCUGCAACCCGCCUGCAUGAAGCCGGAAUCGCUAGUAAUCGCAGAUCAGAAUGCUGCGGUGAAUACGUUCCCGGGUCUUGUACACACCGCCCGUCACACCAUGGGAGUCGAUAACGCCCGAAGUCAGUGACCCAACCGAAAGGAGGGAGCUGCCGAAGGCGGGAUGGAUAACUGGGGUGAAGUCGUAACAAGGUAGCCGUAUCGGAAGGUG
RNAcentral lists this ribosomal RNA (508 nucleotides) under uncultured bacterium. RNAcentral describes it as "bacterial SSU rRNA". It matches the Rfam family "Bacterial small subunit ribosomal RNA", at positions 1007 to 1514 of the family's 1533-position model. The record is from RNAcentral.